UAUCCCAAAGAUAUGUGUGAAGUUUCAAAAGAAUACUUUCAGUGGAUUUUAAGAGGCAGGUUGAUAACCUUAUAAACUUAACCAAGUAUGAAUUUGAUGCUGACAAGCUUCGGACUGCUGACUUUAUUAUUUUAAUAGUCCAGCUAAAUAUGCAGUUUAGUUUAAAACACAGUGCAGUAUGGCUUAAGUCAAUAUCAAAGAAUCAGAAAAUAUAAUUGAAACUCUAUAGACUUAAAUUAUAUGUUAUAACAGAGCUGCUGUAAGUUAUUAAAUGUCACAUGAUCUGGUACAUAUUUUGAUUGAAGUCAACACUGUCUCUACAAACAUAUCUGCCAAUAAAUUAAAUUCCCUUGUCCAACUUCAGCCUGUCAUCUGACCAAUCCU
This is a long non-coding RNA of Ruditapes philippinarum (Manila clam), 384 nucleotides long. RefSeq lists it as uncharacterized. The transcript has 2 exons. NCBI's taxonomy places the organism in Eukaryota, Metazoa, Mollusca, Bivalvia, Venerida, Veneridae. The record is from RefSeq and is a predicted model, not a curated record.